Molecule: long non-coding RNA, 895 nt
Organism: Triticum dicoccoides
Lineage: Eukaryota; Viridiplantae; Streptophyta; Magnoliopsida; Poales; Poaceae
Exons: 2
Source: RefSeq, a predicted model, not a curated record
GCACACACAUACAAGCGAUGCCUCCCGCUCCUCUCAUCCCCUCGACAUACAAUCUGUGAUUGCAGACGCACGAGAUCGCUGCCGCCGACGGAGGGGUGAUCUCGCCGCCGCGGACCUCACAGGGAAGACGCAAUUUCGUACAAUGGGCCACUCCUGUCUCGGACGAGGUCCCAAGCCGCUGCUCCUCCUCUCCCGGGACGCAGCCGCCACUGCAGAACCAGGGAGACGCCGGCGACCGUCGCUGCCAUCGCGGAUCACCAGGAAGCCACCGCCUGCACCGCCACCGUCGCGCCUCGGAUAUGUCGCGGAUCACCAGGACGCGGCCGUCACGGAUCAGGAACACCACGACACCGCCGGCGGCGGCCCCUAGGAUACCGGCGACCGGCGGCGAUCUGAGACCAACGAGUCGACACCACACCCCUGGUACUUCCCUUCCCCAUCCGCCAAUCCUCUACCCCCCUCUACAAAGGCCCAUGCAGCCCUGUCUGUCCGAUUCCGACCUCGCCGGCCACGACCAAGGAUGGAUGUGCAUCCCGACGCCUCUCUUCUCCGUUGAUCCCCAAUAUCCUCCAGGUGAAUCUUCUCCAGAAGAGUGAUUGCUGCACUGGCUUUUGGCUACCGAUGCAAGUUGGGAACUCAUUCAGUGAUUUGAGGGUGCAGGCAGAGAUGAUGCUGCGGAUGGGAUGGGAAGAUGUGUGUGUGCUAGCUGCCAUUGCAGGGACUUUUUAUUUUUCGGAUAGUUCAGCGUCUUAUUACAAAUCUGAUAGUGCUAUCUGCCACACAUACACCAUGCUAUGAAUCUAUUUACAUACGACUCAGAGAAAGAAUUGCUUUGCAGGUACACACUUGCUGCAAACUGAUGUAUUGAACUUUAAAGAAUUUUGAUUGGUCGCCC